UGAACGCUGGCGGCGUGCUUAACACAUGCAAGUUGAGCGGUAAGGCCCCUUCGGGGGUACACGAGCAGCGAACGGGUGAGUAACGCGUGGGUAAUCUACCCAUGAGGUGGAGGAUAGCCUCGGGAAACCGGGGGUAAUACUGCAUACGUCUCGACUGACACAAGUCUAACGAGGCAAAGGCGGGGAUCUUCGGACCUGUCGCCUCUGGAUGAGCCCGCGUCCGAUUAGCUAGUUGGUGAGGUAAUGGCUCACCAAGGCAUCGAUCGGUAGCCGGCCUGAGAGGGUGAACGGCCACAUUGGGACUGAGACACGGCCCAGACUCCUACGGGAGGCAGCAGUGGGGAAUUUUGGGCAAUGGGGGAAACCCUGACCCAGCGACGCCGCGUGGAGGAUGAAGGCCUUCGGGUUGUAAACUCCUGUCAGGUGGGAAGAAGUGUUCUACGGAUAAUACCCGUAGGAAAUUGACGGUACCACCAAAGGAAGCCCCGGCUAACUCC
RNAcentral lists this ribosomal RNA (497 nucleotides) under uncultured bacterium. RNAcentral's name for it is "bacterial SSU rRNA". It matches the Rfam family "Bacterial small subunit ribosomal RNA", at positions 30 to 504 of the family's 1533-position model. The record is from RNAcentral.